AAGCUAGUGAGAUGGUAUUUACAUCAAAUGAAAUAGUAUAGACUAGAUUUUCAGGCAAUUUUGGCCCACUGUUUAAUGUAAAUAAAGUUUUAUUGGAACACAACUGUGCUUAUUAGUUUAUAUAUUCUAGAUGGCUUCAAGGACUUGAACUGGAGUUUGAAAAGUAAGGCCAAGAGGAAGUACAAUUUAAGGAGAAACCCUCAGCUUUCUGCAAGUGCCUACAUCUGCCAACUUUGCACAUAUGUAACUGGAGAGUGUCUCUACACCUGCUACCCAGCUCUCACCUUGUUGUUCUUGGAGGGAGAAGAAGAGGGAUUUCAAGCUGUUCAAGGGAUUCUAUUAAACCUCUGAGAGCCGAAGAUGUCAAAUUUCUCUCAUGAAUAAUGGUGAAGAAGAAAUCAAGGUGGAAAUCAUGCAUUAAUUCACUGCAUCCUCUCCACUCCACAGAAAGCUUUACAAGUUCUAAUAUUGAAGUGCCUUUCUGCUAUGCUCCAUUCUUCUUCCAAAAAGAACAAGAACAUUCUCCAAAAAAAUCCCUUCUAAAACUUCUAAAAUCCUCUCUCAACCCAUUUUCAUCACAGUGGAAGUGAUUUGAGUAUCAUAAAACAAGUUCCACAAAAUUAUAAUGAAACACCUCGGCUCUUCUUGGUAGGUGAUAUCUGUUAAAUGUCAGUUCUGCGAAUAAACUUUCCCAUUUAUAACUCAGCAGCACACACAAAUACAAAUAAUCAGGCACAUAAAUUUGGAAUUUUUGUGCAUUGGAGACUUACUUGAUAUGUUAAUGAAAUUAAAACGUGAUGACAAACACAAAGUCAGUACUGAAGAUAUUCAUACGAUUUUAACAACUUAACAACUUGAUAUCACCCAAUUUUUCCGAGAUCUUUACCAGCCCUGCCAGUCAAAAUUUCAUCCUGUCCAGAAAGACCAAACUUUUAGCCACUGUUGCUCUCUUGUUUUAUGAUGUCUUCACAUCUUAGGAUGAUUUCUUCUGCAGGUUGAUUUCUUCUAUAGCAAUAAGCACAAUCAUGAUCGUGACAUCAUUUCAUUAUAAGAUCUCUGUGGCAUGAAGUUCUAUUGGCCACUCUGCAACCAUGGUCUGAAACUUUUUAAUUACAUACAAUCUCAUGUAUGAAUAUUUUUAUAGAUAAUCCCAAUACGGAUUGACUCUUAAGUAGAAGUAAGAAAUAGGAUUGAAGGCAGUCUUUGAGUCCUAGUAACAGUGAGGUAGAACUGAAACAACAUAUGGAGAUUAGAGUUUAGGUAAAAUAGC
Molecule: long non-coding RNA, 1270 nt
Filed under: Chinchilla lanigera (long-tailed chinchilla)
Lineage: Eukaryota; Metazoa; Chordata; Mammalia; Rodentia; Chinchillidae
Description: lncRNA (ENSCLAG00000023271.1)
Source: RNAcentral